Molecule: ribosomal RNA, 527 nt
Filed under: uncultured bacterium
Lineage: Bacteria
Description: bacterial SSU rRNA
Rfam family: Bacterial small subunit ribosomal RNA
Source: RNAcentral
AAUAGAUACCCGGGUAGUCCACGCCCUAAACGAUGUCAACUAGCUGUUGGGGCCUUCGGGCCUUGGUAGCGCAGCUAACGCGUGAAGUUGACCGCCUGGGGAGUACGGUCGCAAGAUUAAAACUCAAAGGAAUUGACGGGGACCCGCACAAGCGGUGGAUGAUGUGGAUUAAUUCGAUGCAACGCGAAAAACCUUACCUACCCUUGACAUGUCUGGAAUGCCGAAGAGAUUUGGCAGUGCUCGCAAGAGAACCGGAACACAGGUGCUGCAUGGCUGUCGUCAGCUCGUGUCGUGAGAUGUUGGGUUAAGUCCCGCAACGAGCGCAACCCUUGUCAUUAGUUGCUACGAAAGGGCACUCUAAUGAGACUGCCGGUGACAAACCGGAGGAAGGUGGGGAUGACGUCAAGUCCUCAUGGCCCUUAUGGGUAGGGCUUCACACGUCAUACAAUGGUCGGGACAGAGGGUCGCCAACCCGCGAGGGGAGCCAAUCCCAGAAACCCGAUCGUAGUCCGGAUCGCAGUCUGCAA